AACCAUUCUCACCUGCGGCUAGACCUGCGGAGGGAUCAUUACUGAGUGAGGGCCCUCUGGGUCCAACCUCCCACCCGUGUUUAUUGUACCUUGUUGCUUCGGUGGGCCCGCCGCAAGGCCGCCGGGGGCUUCCGCCCCGGGCCCGCGCCCACCGGAGACAAACUGAACUCUGUCUGAAUGUUGCAGUCUGAGUAAAAACUUAAUAAGUUAAAACUUUUAACAACGGAUCUCAGAUCGGAA
This 240-nucleotide unclassified non-coding RNA is filed under the name soil metagenome. RNAcentral describes it as "partial contains 5.8S ribosomal RNA, internal transcribed spacer 2, and large subunit ribosomal RNA". The record is from RNAcentral.